This 500-nucleotide ribosomal RNA is filed under the name uncultured bacterium. RNAcentral describes it as "partial 16S ribosomal RNA". It matches the Rfam family "Bacterial small subunit ribosomal RNA", at positions 30 to 523 of the family's 1533-position model. The record is from RNAcentral.
AUUGAACGCUGGCGGAAUGCUUUACACAUGCAAGUCGAACGGCAGCACGGACUUCGGUCUGGUGGCGAGUGGCGAACGGGUGAGUAAUGUAUCGGAACGUGCCCAGUCGUGGGGGAUAACGUAGUGAAAAUUACGCUAAUACCGCAUACGAUCUAUGGAUGAAAGCGGGGGAUCGCAAGACCUCGCGCGAUUGGAGCGGCCGAUAUCAGAUUAGGUAGUUGGUGGGGUAAAGGCCCACCAGGCCAACGAUCCGUAGCUGGUCUGAGAGGACGACCAGCCACACUGGAACUGAGACACGGUCCAGACUCCUACGGGAGGCAGCAGUGGGGAAUUUUGGACAAUGGGCGAAAGCCUGAUCCAGCCAUUCCGCGUGCAGGAUGAAGGCCCUCGGGUUGUAAACUGCUUUUGUACAGAACGAAAAGGUUUCUACUAAUACUAGGAGCUCAUGACGGUACUGUAAGAAUAAGCACCGGCUAACUACGUGCCAGCCGCCGCAGUAA